RNAcentral lists this long non-coding RNA (872 nucleotides) under Monodelphis domestica (gray short-tailed opossum). RNAcentral describes it as "lncRNA (ENSMODG00000040514.1)". Lineage: Eukaryota; Metazoa; Chordata; Mammalia; Didelphimorphia; Didelphidae. The record is from RNAcentral.
CCGCCGCCACCUCCGCCCUUAGUACUGCUGCUACUAUCGCCGCUGCCGCCUUGAUUCUCCGCGCCCGGAACCGAAGGAAAGGAAUGAGAAAGUCCGUUCCGGGAGAGCAAACGUCUUCCCCCCUCCGCACCCAGUGAACACAAUCAGCUGCCACUGCCGCUGCCGCCGCUGCUGCCGCUGCCGCCGCCGCCGCCGCUCGGCUCUCGCUUCCACCCAAAAUGGCCGCCGCCGAACCAGGAAAUAGGGAAGCCUCAGACCGAAGGGCCUUUACACAGCCCAGAGGGCGGCCGCACCGCACUGCAUGCUGGGCAAGAUAGUCCAGGCACGCGCCGGGAGGCCCCGCAGCCAGAUGGUUUGGCAAGGCCGCUGGGACUCGCUUUCCCGACGAGCCCGGCGCCCUCGGAGCAUGCGCAUUGAGGGAGCUGUUGACCACCCCACUUUACCCUACUUCCCCUCCCUUUCCUCUCUCCUCCCGACUGUCUCUCGAGAGAAGGCUCCGCUCUGACUCCCCCUAGCGGAUUGGUUAAACCUGAGCGGCCUCGGUGAUGUCAUCAGUGAAACGUGGCAGCUGGGCGAGUCAGCAAGCUAAAGGGGAGAGGAGGGUCGGGGGAGGGGCUGAAUUUCAGCAGAUAGGUGGGGCGAGAAGCGAGGGGCGGAGAAGGGGAAGAGAAAGGAAUCGGAAGGAAGGAAGAAAAGGGAAGGGUCCAGCUGGAGAGGAAGCCCUAGAGAGAGGAAGCCUAAAGAGAACUGGGUAUCCAAGACAUGUUGCCUUGCCUACAGAGUUAACAACACAAUUCAGUGGAGUGGAACAUACCAGCCUUUCCAUGGAAGGUGCUGUGGGAGAGAGGAAUUUCAGAUCCAACUUUCUGUGA